Molecule: ribosomal RNA, 253 nt
Filed under: uncultured bacterium
Lineage: Bacteria
Description: partial 16S ribosomal RNA
Rfam family: Bacterial small subunit ribosomal RNA
Source: RNAcentral
UACGUAGGUGGCAAGCGUUGUCCGGAUUUACUGGGCGUAACGAGCGCGCAGGCGGUCGGCUAAGUCGAAUGUGAAAGCCCCCGGCUCAACUGGGGAGGGUCAUUCGAUACUGUUCGACUCGAAGGCAGGAGAGGGAAGUGGAAUUCCCGGUGUAGUGGUGAAAUGCGUAGAUAUCGGGAGGAACACCAGUGGCGAAGGCGACUUCCUGGCCUGUUCUUGACGCUGAGGCGCGAAAGCUAGGGGAGCAAACGGG